This 2106-nucleotide long non-coding RNA is filed under the name Homo sapiens (human). Its description in RNAcentral is "HSALNT0362307". The record is from RNAcentral. Lineage: Eukaryota; Metazoa; Chordata; Mammalia; Primates; Hominidae.
CAUGUGAACUACUAAAAGUAAAUCUGCAUGGACUUCUUGCCUGGUGAGUUACACAGAAAAUGAAAGUGAUUAUCAGUGGCUGUGGCAAGAUGAAAGGAACCAUGCCAGGACUUCUGAGGGAAGGAAGAGUGUUUGGGACUGAAAAAUCCUUGUCUGGAUCUAGUCCUCAGCCACUCAGAAGCUGGCAUGCCAUGACUCAAAGAGCCGCCCGUCUGGAAUGAAGACAGUGACCCGUAACUCCCACCUGAAGAGCAGGUGCUUGGAAAAUGCUGCCAGUCCGCAGGAAAAAGUUGUUACUGCUGCUGUCUGUGACCAAGAGGACACUUUAUUUCUUGAAACAACUGGGGGCAAACUGGCUCCCAGAUAAGGCUUCAGUCCCUACUCAUGUGAGGAAACCAGCCCUGGUAGGUUCCAUGCACAAGAAUACAGGACAAGGAGCAGCUUUUUUCACCUCAUGCAACCUCCAGGGAUUUCAGCUUCCUUUUCUUGGAGCAAGAAAGUGAAGUGACGUGGGGAGUCACUAGGAACAAUGUCUGUCUUACUGUGUUUCAUGGAACCUGGAGGUUCCUUAGAGACCCCUCAGAAGCAGACCUAGUGGUCAGAGUAAAAGCUGAGGAGUAAGCUGUGCCUCUCCCUCCCCAGGCCCCAUCCCAACCACAGAAGUUCCACUUGCAUCAGUUUUAUAUACCAGACUAUUGCAUGAAAUUACAUUUUGACAGAUGAUUAUUCUUAAAAAAUAUAUAAAAACCAACAAACUAGGCCAUAUCAAGUCCUGGUCCCUUCUCCAUUAGUGCAGUAAACAAUUCCACCAAGGAAAAUAUAGGUGUGAAAGUGCUUUGCAAACUGUAGAAGGGCAUGCAAAUUCUAGGGGCUGUAAUUAGGAUUAUUCUCCCCAGAAGCGGGGAUUAUUUUGUUUGCUUGCUUCCCGAUAGUUUGGUGAGGGACUGAGGUCAUUUGCCCCCAUACCACAAAUGACUCAUUUCAAAUAACAGACCUGGUGACUUACUGAGUCAAGGUCCACCUUUGGGAAUUCCUGGAUCACCUCUUUGAGCUCCCCUCUCAUCCACUUUCCAUUCUAAAGACACCCUGCCCACACCACUGGUCACACAAACCCUUCCCAAACUCUUAGAUGCUUGAUAUCUGUUGUGUGUUGCACCAUCUUUCUUUCUAAGCCAAACCAUGGGAUGUGGGAAACUGGAAAGGAAACUUGAAUUGAUUUGAGUUGACACGAGAUUACACUAUUUGGGAAGAAUCCAGAAUUCAAUCAGCAGCCUUGGACCGAGAAAGUCCAGGUCUGAGCAUUGGCUUUCCCCCUUAUCAGAGGAUGACUUAACCUCUGGGAGUUUCGGUAAUCCCAGCCACAAAACAAGGGUAAUCAGACCUUUCCCAUAGUUUAUUAUGAGUAGUCAGUGAAAGAAGACAUCAAGACCAUUUCCUGGUGUGCCUGCCUCAUGGUGGGACUCAAUGACCUCUAAGCUACCUGAGAACAGGGACAUGUCCUUCUGGGGUGCCAGCACAUACUCAGCUCUCAGUCCCUAACAUAUACACUGUGCUCCAUAAAUAAGCAUUACAUAAAUGUAUGAGGGACUGUUAUUUUUUUUCCCUCCCAUCAAAGCGCAUAGGGGUGUUUCAGGAAUCACAUGAACUGGUGGGAGGAAACACAUAGACAACUUGACAGUUUCUAAAUAAAUGCAAGCAGUGACAUCCUAUUUGGGGUGACUGGUUCAGGGAGACUUGAGUGCAAACAGAGCAUUACUCACUCUGGCAGACUAGGGUUCUUUGCUGAAAUAUUGGGGACUGAUGGCUUCUGACUGGUAGUAAUAAAUCCUGUUCCUCUCGAGCAAAGAAAAGCCAAAUCUAAACCAAAUGUGAGCAGGAGUGUGAAAUGGAAAGCUGGGAGAUCUUGGGCUGAAUCAUGGAAUUCAAGGAUUACAAAUGCAGCAGGUCACAGACUCUUUUAAAGGGACAAUAUUUAAUUAUUUCACGGGACAGCUUCCCAGAAAAGGAAUGAUCUGGCACAGUAAAGAAAAAAUGACAUUCCAGUUAAACCUUAACUCUUAAAAAAAUUCAUCCUUAGUUCAUAUUCACAGUGUGAAUUCUACACAU